GACGAACGCUGGCGGCGUGCUUAACACAUGCCAGUCGAACGGAAAGGCCCUGCUUUUGUGGGGUGCUCGAGUGGCGAACGGGUGAGUAACACGUGAGUAACCUGCCCUUGACUUUGGGAUAACUUCAGGAAACUGGGGCUAAUACCGGAUAGGAGCUCCUGCUGCAUGGUGGGGGUUGGAAAGUUUCGGCGGUUGGGGCUGGACUCGCGGCUUAUCAGCUUGUUGGUGGGGUAGUGGCUUACCAAGGCUUUGACGGGUAGCCGGCCUGAGAGGGUGACCGGCCACAUUGGGACUGAGAUACGGCCCAGACUCCUACGGGAGGCAGCAGUGGGGAAUAUUGCACAAUGGGCGGAAGCCUGAUGCAGCAACGCCGCGUGCGGGAUGACGGCCUUCGGGUUGUAAACCGCUUUCGCCUGUGACGAAGCGUGAGUGACGGUAAUGGGUAAAGAAGCACCGGCCAACUACGUG
Molecule: ribosomal RNA, 468 nt
Filed under: uncultured bacterium
Lineage: Bacteria
Description: partial 16S ribosomal RNA
Rfam family: Bacterial small subunit ribosomal RNA
Source: RNAcentral